RNAcentral lists this ribosomal RNA (254 nucleotides) under uncultured bacterium. RNAcentral describes it as "partial 16S ribosomal RNA". It matches the Rfam family "Bacterial small subunit ribosomal RNA", at positions 524 to 776 of the family's 1533-position model. The record is from RNAcentral.
UACGUAGGGGGCGAGCGUUGUCCGGAUUCAUUGGGCGUAAAGAGCUCGUAGGCGGCUUGGCAAGUCGGGUGUGAAAACUCAAGGCUCAACCUAGAGACGCCACCCGAUACUGCCAUGGCUAGAGUCCGGUAGGGGACCACGGAAUUCCUGGUGUAGCGGUGAAAUGCGCAGAUAUCAGGAGGAACACCGGUGGCGAAGGCGGUGGUCUGGGCCGGCACUGACGCUGAGGAGCGAAAGCGUGGGGAGCGAACAGG